RNAcentral lists this ribosomal RNA (458 nucleotides) under uncultured Bacteroidota bacterium. RNAcentral describes it as "bacterial SSU rRNA". It matches the Rfam family "Bacterial small subunit ribosomal RNA", at positions 355 to 810 of the family's 1533-position model. Lineage: Bacteria; Pseudomonadati; Bacteroidota. The record is from RNAcentral.
UGAGGAAUAUUGGACAAUGGGCGCAAGCCUGAUCCAGCCAUGCCGCGUGCAGGAUGACGGUCCUAUGGAUUGUAAACUGCUUUUGUACAGGAAGAAACACUCCCUCGUGAGGGAGCUUGACGGUACUGUAAGAAUAAGGAUCGGCUAACUCCGUGCCAGCAGCCGCGGUAAUACGGAGGAUCCAAGCGUUAUCCGGAAUCAUUGGGUUUAAAGGGUCCGUAGGCGGUUUAAUAAGUCAGUGGUGAAAGCCCAUCGCUCAACGGUGGAACGGCCAUUGAUACUGUUAAACUUGAAUUAUUAGGAAGUAACUAGAAUAUGUAGUGUAGCGGUGAAAUGCUUAGAGAUUACAUGGAAUACCAAUUGCGAAGGCAGGUUACUACUAAUGGAUUGACGCUGAUGGACGAAAGCGUGGGUAGCGAACAGGAUUAGAUACCCUGGUAGUCCACGCCGUAAACGAU